Molecule: ribosomal RNA, 478 nt
Filed under: uncultured bacterium
Lineage: Bacteria
Description: partial 16S ribosomal RNA
Rfam family: Bacterial small subunit ribosomal RNA
Source: RNAcentral
GACGAACGCUGGCGGCGUGCUUAACACAUGCAAGUCGAACGGUAAGGCCCUUCGGGGUACACGAGUGGCGAACGGGUGAGUAACACGUGGGAGAUCUGCCCUGCACUUCGGGAUAAGCCUGGGAAACUGGGUCUAAUACCGGAUAGGACCCUGGGAUGCAUGUCCUGGGGUGGAAAGCUUUUGCGGUGUGGGAUGGGCCCGCGGCCUAUCAGCUUGUUGGUGGGGUGAUGGCCUACCAAGGCGACGACGGGUAGCCGGCCUGAGAGGGUGACCGGCCACACUGGGACAGAGAUACGGCCCAGACUCCUACGGGAGGCAGCAGUGGGGAAUAUUGCACAAUGGGCGCAAGCCUGAUGCAGCGACGCCGCGUGAGGGAUGACGGCCUUCGGGUUGUAAACCUCUUUCAGCACCGACGAAGCGAAAGUGACGGUAGGUGCGGAAGAAGGACCGGCCAACUACGUGCCAGCAGCCGCCGUAA